RNAcentral lists this unclassified non-coding RNA (411 nucleotides) under soil metagenome. RNAcentral's name for it is "partial contains 5.8S ribosomal RNA, internal transcribed spacer 2, and large subunit ribosomal RNA". The stretch from base 1 to 120 matches the Rfam family "5.8S ribosomal RNA", at positions 35 to 154 of the family's 154-position model. The record is from RNAcentral.
GAUGAAGAACGUAGCGAAAUGCGAUAAGUAAUGUGAAUUGCAGAAUUCAGUGAAUCAUCGAAUCUUUGAACGCACCUUGCGCUCCUUGGCAUUCCGAGGAGCAUGCCUGUUUGAGCGUCGUUGAAUUCUCAGGAUCCCACAAAGGCUGUAGUAGCAUUACUACUACUGUCCUUCACGUGGGGGUGUGGAUUGUGGAGGAUGCAUUUAUGCCCCGCCGGGGUUCUGCUUUGCUCCUCUGAAACGCAUUGCCGGUUACGGCUGUGGUCGCGAACCUGUUGCCGGUGUGAUACACACGUCUUACCUGCAUCUAAUCCGUGCCCAGCCAGGCCAUACGAGACAAAUUCUCUAACGAUUUGACCUCAAAUCAGGCAGGACUACCCGCUGAACUUAAGCAUAUCAAUAAGCGGAGGA